RNAcentral lists this ribosomal RNA (375 nucleotides) under uncultured Alphaproteobacteria bacterium. Its description in RNAcentral is "bacterial SSU rRNA". It matches the Rfam family "Bacterial small subunit ribosomal RNA", at positions 521 to 896 of the family's 1533-position model. The record is from RNAcentral. Lineage: Bacteria; Pseudomonadati; Pseudomonadota; Alphaproteobacteria.
UAAUACGAAGGGACCUAGCGUAGUUCGGAAUUACUGGGCUUAAAGAGCUCGUAGGUGGUUAGAAAAGUUAGUGGUGAAAUCCCAAGGCUUAACCUUGGAACUGCCACUAAAACUUUUUAACUAGAGUAUGAUAGAGGUAAGCGGAAUUUCUAGUGUAGAGGUGAAAUUCGUAGAUAUUAGAAAGAACACCAAUUGCGAAGGCAGCUUUCUGGAUCAUUACUGACACUGAGGAGCGAAAGCAUGGGUAGCGAAGAGGAUUAGAUACCCUCGUAGUCCAUGCCGUAAACGAUGUGUGCUAGACGUUGGAAACAUUAGUUUUCAGUGUCGCAGCAAAAGCGUUAAGCACACCGCCUGGGGAGUACGACCGCAAGGUUA